GCUUUAGCGUGGUGGCACCCCGCCACCCAUCACCUGCAAGUCUAGCGGCCCGCCUUAAGCCUAUCUGCCACUUUAAUUAAUUAAAACCCAACAAAGGUUCACGGGAUAACCUUUUCCCUUCCCCAUCGCUGAAACAAUUACCCUUCAACCCCUUUCCUCUCCCCUAACCGCCGACCACCCCCUCACAUAUCACCCACCUUCUCGCCGUCAACCUCCAUAACCACCGAAUAACCCCUACUCUUCACUGCCGAUAUUACCCCUUAUUCCACAGACAACACAUCCCCUUCAACCAUUAGCCCACCAUGUUUUGUCCCCUACCCCCACUACCAAUAACCCACAUUGUCACCUAACCUUUUAUCACCAUUAAACUUUUUCACCCACUGGUUACCCACCGAAGAACAAAAGAAAAGAACCAUAAAAAAAAAAAAUCUCCAUUACCACCUACUCCCUCACUCAUCCGAUUUCAACCAUCCAUUCACCAUAUUUCACUUAAAGUCUAAAUUGUUCUUUGGGAUUCAAGUUUCAAACGAAAAAUCUCUCAAUCUCUUCUUAUUUCUCUCAAAUCCAAGAAUGUCAUGUUCAGGAUCAUGCAGUCGGCCAACAGGAAACGAGGCCAGAUACUCACCGAAGAGUGGGACACAGGCGGGUGAUGAGGUGUUGGAUGAUGCGGAGUAGAGCGAGGAUGACAGCUUAUGUCUUUUGUUUAUUUUUAUCUUUAUGCUGUUUUUAAUCCUCGUUUGUUGGUUUGUACUUAAAUACGUUAAACAGUGUUUGGUGUUUGCUUGAUUAGGUUGGUAUUAGUAGCCGCUUUCGUUCGCGUGUCCGAGAUUAGAGUUGUUUGCUGAGCGCGUUUCGAAUUGGAGGGCUUAUGUGGAAACGACUGGCACUUUGACAGUCUCACAUACUCAGCUAAGUCGUUUCCCUUUUUGUUGUUGUUGUAUAUUUUUUAUUUAUUUCAUUUGCAGUUUUUUUUAGGUAGUUGUUGAGUCGUAUUUUCGUUCUUGCAUUAGGGACAAUGCAAUCUCUAAGUGUGGGGAUGGGAUACUUGUAAAUAUUUGAGUCAUAAAUAUGAAAAAACACAAAAAAAUUAAAAAAAUUGAAAAAUCCAAAAAAAAUAGAAAAAUAGAAAAUGUCUUUCGAAUAAAAAAAAAGAAGUUUGCAUUUUUUUUAAGCGGAAAGUGAUAGAAAAGAUGAAUUUUUGCUCGGGUUCGAAUAAUAAUAAUAUGAGAUUAUAAUAAAUCGAGCUUGCGUCUAGUUAGGGAUAUGUGGAUAGGCUCGGGUUUGGUUUUAAGUCCCUUUGAUCUAAUAUACCUUAAUUGUCGGUUUACUAGUGGGUUUUCGCCUGAGAGAUAUGGGAAAUUAAAACCGCCAAUAAUAGUAUAAGGGGCACCGUUAUAAGUUAAAACUUUCAGAGUUUGUGGUCAUGAAAAAAAAAAGGAAUAAAAAGUGAGCUAGAAACUAAAUGAAAGUAACACAGGUCUAUGUAAUCCGAGUUGGGGAUAGCGACUCUACAGCCGGAAUGCCUCUGGGAUGUGUGAAAUCGAAUUGCCGAUUAAAAGUACCGAAACCUAAGUAAUCUGUGGUUGGGGAUAGCGACUCUACAGCCGGAAUACCUCUUGGUUAGGGAAAGCAUCGUCUAGACUCACGAGUGAAAAAAAAAGAGAGCAAGAAGCAAAGCAAAAAUAGAAAAAAAAUGGAAAAAAGAAAAAAAAUUGAUUGUAAACUCUUUUGGUUUUGAUAUAAGACGGUUGGGAAUUGGUCAAAUGAUCGUUCCUUUAGUCCUAUAAGCUUGAGGCGGGAGUAGGUGGACUGUAGAUUCUAGUGUGAGGCCCUAGGUAGACUGACUGCACUUAAAUUAAAUUCACAUGAUAAGGGCUUAGGAUUGGAUUCGGGUUUAAGGGGACAAGUAUAUUCGCAAUCGCGGCUAACGCAAGUCUUGGUUUUAAUUAAAUAUAUCUAUGCUUUUGACCCGAGUGAUUAUUUGUUUCUGAUUCCGUUGCAUAAUUCUUUUUCGAGGACGAAAAAAGAGUAAGUGUGGGGAUGUUUGAUGUAUUGCAAAAUACAUCUUUUAUUCGUGUAAAGUUUGUAUAGUUUUCGUUAUAUUUAGUUUUGAUUUUCAUUAGAAUAUGCAUGCUAUUAAUUAAAUCGUGUUUCGCAGGUCUUGAUGCUCAAAUAUGCGAGAAACCGAGUAAAACAAGUUAAAAUAUUGAAGUGUCAAGUCUUGAAGCAUGUUGGGAAGGUCGAGGAGUUGAAAUAGAGUUUAAAAGCUGAAAAAUCACUUUCUGGCACCCCAUCACCCACUAAGCAAGUUUCUGGCACCUGGCGAGAGUCUGAAGUUAAUACAUGAUGAGCUGAAAAACAAGGUGGCACCCCACCACCCAGUCCCUGAUCUUGUGGCACCCAGCCAGAAGCCUGUAGUUGGCGAAUUUUGUUAUGGAAAGUCAUAUAAACAUCCUAAACGUGGGAAAAACCCUAAUUUAGACUUUGGGGACUUCUUGGGCAAUAGUUGAGCAUUCUUGGAGUUUUUUCGGAGAUUUUGAAGCCUAGGAAUCAUCGGUACGAGUUCGGGGAAGAAGACUUGAAGAUCUAAUCGGGUUUUCUAGUUCUUUGUUCUUGACUUUUCUUACGAAACUUGUUACAAUGAAUUCUUUGUUGAACAUAUUUGAAUUGUUUUCGUUUAUGAACAUGCUCGGCUAGAUU
Molecule: long non-coding RNA, 2700 nt
Filed under: Helianthus annuus (common sunflower)
Lineage: Eukaryota; Viridiplantae; Streptophyta; Magnoliopsida; Asterales; Asteraceae
Description: hypothetical non coding rna
Source: RNAcentral